Long non-coding RNA from Mirounga angustirostris (Northern elephant seal), 580 nucleotides. RefSeq lists it as uncharacterized. The record is from RefSeq and is a predicted model, not a curated record. NCBI's taxonomy places the organism in Eukaryota, Metazoa, Chordata, Mammalia, Carnivora, Phocidae. The transcript is spliced from 2 exons.
UGCAACAAGCACAGCGCCUCCAUCUGUGGUCACUCUGAGUUUGUCACCGUGAUAAGCUGCUAAGAUAAGCAUGAAUUCCUCAGCAAGUAACAAAACAGCAGAAUCAAGUUCACGUGGGCGGGAAAGUCAUCCUCAUUCCGGAUCAUGUUGAUACACGCGUGUGGGCGGAAGUCAAGGGUCAGCGUGCACACAAUCCUGGCUGCACCCAUGGGAGGUCUGCCCAUCAUCGGCCACGGCUGUUGCGCUGGAUCGAAAGUUUGAGCGUUCCAGGUUGAAGCCCUACCCCCUCCAGGACCCCAGGAUGUGACCGUAUUUGAAUAUAGGACCUUUGAAGAGAUGAUUAAGGUACAAUGUCAUUAAGGGGCUUUAGUCUAAUACGACUGGAGUCCUUAUAAGGAGAGGACAUCAGGACAGAGACACACACAGAGGGACGACCCCGUGAGGACCUGGGGAGGAGAUGGCCGUCUGCACGCCCAGGAGAGACCUCGAGAGGGACCGGCCCUGCCAUGCCUGGAUCUUGGACCUCCAGCCCCGGGGGUGGGGGGUGAGAGGGGUGGAAUAAAUCUCUUUUGUUUUCAGA